CAAGGAGUAGCCAAGCGGUAAGGCAUGAGGUCGCGCUUCAAUCGCUGGUUCGAAUCCAGCCUCCUUGU
Molecule: transfer RNA, 68 nt
Filed under: Paenilisteria rocourtiae
Lineage: Bacteria; Bacillati; Bacillota; Bacilli; Caryophanales; Listeriaceae
Also listed under: 2 other names
Description: Listeria rocourtiae tRNA-Ser
Rfam family: tRNA
About the family: Transfer RNA (tRNA) molecules are approximately 80 nucleotides in length.
Source: RNAcentral